RNAcentral lists this ribosomal RNA (465 nucleotides) under Vreelandella stevensii. RNAcentral's name for it is "partial 16S ribosomal RNA". It matches the Rfam family "Bacterial small subunit ribosomal RNA", at positions 338 to 795 of the family's 1533-position model. The record is from RNAcentral. Lineage: Bacteria; Pseudomonadati; Pseudomonadota; Gammaproteobacteria; Oceanospirillales; Halomonadaceae.
CCUACGGGGGGCAGCAGUGGGGAAUAUUGGACAAUGGGGGCAACCCUGAUCCAGCCAUGCCGCGUGUGUGAAGAAGGCCCUCGGGUUGUAAAGCACUUUCAGUGAGGAAGAACGCCUGGUGGUUAAUACCCAUCAGGAAAGACAUCACUCACAGAAGAAGCACCGGCUAACUCCGUGCCAGCAGCCGCGGUAAUACGGAGGGUGCGAGCGUUAAUCGGAAUUACUGGGCGUAAAGCGCGCGUAGGUGGCUUGAUAAGCCGGUUGUGAAAGCCCCGGGCUCAACCUGGGAACGGCAUCCGGAACUGUCAAGCUAGAGUGCAGGAGAGGAAGGUAGAAUUCCCGGGGUAGCGGUGAAAUGCGUAGAGAUCGGGAGGAAUACCAGUGGCGAAGGCGGCCUUCUGGACUGACACUGACACUGAGGUGCGAAAGCGUGGGUAGCAAACAGGAUUAGAUACCCGAGUAGUC